ACUGGCACCUGCGUCACUUCCAGACACAGUGUAGGUUCUGUUGGGUGACCUACUGAAGUAGCCUGAGUCACUUCCAGAGGAAGGAUAGCUUAUGCUGGAUGGCAUACUGGAGCCUGAGUCGCUUCCAGACACAGUGUAUGUUCUGUUGGGUGACCUACUGAAGUAGCCUGAGUCACUUCCAGAGGAAGGAUAGCUUAUGCUGGAUGGCAUACUGGAGCCUGGGUCACUUCCAGACACAGUAUAGGUUAUGUUGGGUGACAUGCUGAAGUAGCCUGAGUCACUUCCAGAUGAAGAAUAGCUUAUGCUGGAUGGCAUACUGGAGCCUGAGUCAGACACAGUAUAGGUUCUGUACCUUGGCCCUCCCCAGUGUCCUGGAAUAAAAACAAUGCAUAUAACCUUAUCAGGAGAGAAUCUACUUUUGCUGUUUGUUUAAUACCCCUCACAAGAGUACGUAUGUGAGGUACUUGCAACUGUUUGCUUCUUGUCUUAGUUGCUUAUUUGAAACACAGGAGCCAUAAUUAUUAUAUAUCAAUCUUUAAGAGACAAAGGGCAUUACCAGAAGUAUCUUGCCCUAGGCAGGAUUGUAACGACACAUUGUUCCACGUAUUCUCACAGACAUAUUUUACACACCAUCAUGAUAAUUUCUAGGUGUGUUUUUUAAGCAAGGAAACAAGCUUGUACAGUUGGGAAAAAACUUUAAUUCCUGUGUUAGUUACACCACCCCUUUGUUGUCUGAAAAUUGUCUCUGAAGAUGUCUGUUUGCACUAGAUGUGUUGCUCCAAAGCCAUUCUACUAAAGCGCUGUUGUGUUUGCCUACAGAAGCUGUGCAGCAUGAAGGUGGAUGCUGUCUCUGAACCCAUAUCCAAGUGAGUAUAAUUUCUUGAAAAGCAGACUUACCAUCAGGAGGAGGACCACGAGGCGUACUGGCUCCUUGGGGUUGAAAGAGAAAGGCAGAAGGCCCUGUUCAGAGGAAGGAAAUUUACUUCAGAGCAGGUACAUUUUUAAAAGCAAGGAAAUACAAGAAACUGAAAUGGUUAUGGUUGGAAGGAAAAGCUAUUACAACAAUGUUAAUGGUUUAUAAGAGAAAGAAAGGAAGAACCCUUUGGUUCUUAAAAAAAAAAGAAAGAAAAAAACCCCCCCGCUAUUCAAAAAAAACCAAACCCCCACCCACUCACCACGACCACUCCCCAAAAGCAAAACAAUCCAAGCAACCCAGCAGCUAAACUCAGGGCAAUAUCAAAAUUAUCAAAGCAAAUGAAGGACUCGUUAUAAAAGGAAUCCUCCAGCAGUAAUUUUAAUCUCUGUGUUAGCUUUCAGCAUCCCCUUUCUGUUCUGAAGAGCACCUUCGAAUGUUUCUGUUUGCGCUAACUUUAUUGCUCCAUUAUGGUUCCCAUUAAGUGUUGUUGUAUUUGCCUACAGAAGCUGAGCAGCAGGAAGGGAGUUGCUGGCUAGGAACCCAAAUCCCGGUGAGUACAAUUGCUUGAAAAACAGACUUACCAGCAGGAGGAAGAGGAGAAGGAAGAGGAGCACGAGCUGGAGGUGCACGAAGGGCUUGGGAGGGAAUAGGAAUACAAAUAUACUCCGGUCAGAGACAGCAAAAUUACUUCAGAAGAGGUAAAUGUUUAAAAGCAAGGAAAUGCACAGAACUGAAAUGUUGCAAGACAUGGCGGUUUCUAAAUGUUGGCAGUAGUGUUAUUGCUCCGUUGUGUUUACAAUGAGGACUUGUUGUAUUUGUCUGCAGAAGCUGUGCAGCAUGAAGGGUGAUGCUGGCUCUGAAGCCACAUCCAAAUGACUAUAAUUUCUUGACAAGCAGACUUACCAUCACCAGCAGGAAUAGGACCACGAGGCGAAAUGGGUCCUUGGGGACGCCGGAAGGAAUCUGUUGAGAGACAGUAAAUUAACUUCAGAGAUGAAGCUGUGCAGCAUGAAGGGAGCUGCUGGCUAGGAACCCAGAUCCCAGUGACUACAAUUGCCUAAAAAGCAGACUUACCAGCAGGAGGGAGAGCAGGAAUAGCAGGAGGUGAACCAGCUGCUUCAGAAGCUGAGCAGCAGGAAGGGAGCUGCUGGCUAGGAACCCACAUCCCAGUGACUUGCUUGAAAAGCAGACUUACGAUCUUCACUAGGAGUAAGAGCCUGAACAGCUGUUAUGGGUUGAAAUUGAAACUGCGGAGAGUCCCUUCCUGAUAAUGCGUCAACUUUGGAAGAUGCCAGUGAGUAGAGAUCCACAAAAUUUCUAAGCACGUGCUUUAAAUAAAAGUAGAAGGAAUCAUUAGUGACAGGCAAGCUACGCUUAAAUGCCAAAUAGCACACAUCCAAAUUUUUUACAAAAGACAGAAUUUUUUUCAGCAGAGAAAUCAAAUAGAGUUUGUAAGCCAGGCAGAAUGUCAGUCCCAGGACUAAAACAUCAAAAACAUCUCACACUGGGUUUUGUAUUUUUUCUAAAAUGUUGAAUAUUAAUGUCAUUGAGGAAAAGGGAAUUACUCCACCCCUUAGUUAGAAGAUGCUUUGACGAAAUGUUUUCAAGCAUGCACUACAGCACUGAGCUCUUGAUGCAACUUUUUCAUUUUAUUUCAAUACAAGAUUCACUGCAGGUUCAAUUUCUGUUCACAAAAAAUUACCACAUAGUUUCAGGACAAUGUUCACACUUCCAAGAUUAGUCAAUUUACUAAUCUUUCCACUCCACAGCAAAAAAAAUAACUUGGCAGUAACAAAAGAAACAUCAGAAACCUACAGACCUCUGAAAACAAAUAAUCUGAUUGCACUAUAACUGAAAAAAAGGAAGAGUUUCCAUGUAUGCAGCAGAAGAAUGUCCCAAUUUUGUUAUAUUGAUUGUAUUGAUGAUAAAUUUAGAAGCACAAGAAAGCACAGAUGAUUCGGCAGUGCUGGUAACUUUAUAUCUACCCCAAGUAGUCUCAGCUAACUGUUGAAAUGAUUGAUCUUCUUUACAAUGGUUAAUCACAUUUUAUAUGUUCAGUUUUUGCUUUCAGAUAGUAUGACUUUGGUCUUUUGAAUGUAAACGUGUGAUACAGACAAAAAUCAGCUUAUCAUCACAAACAGGGGUUUGCAAAGAUUUCUGCAGUUUUCCUUUGAUUGGUUUCACAUUGCUGAUUUUCAGAAUAGAUGUUAACACAGCUAAAAUCAAUAGGUUGUUUCAUUGUAGUGUCUAGGAAACAGAAGUGGCAAAUUAACCAAUAUCACAUCUUUUCUCAUCAGAAAGAAUCUCCAAAAACAUCCUGGUGCUGUGGUUCUAGUCCUAAAAGAGGAUUCUUGCAGAUUAUAAGGCUUUUAAUUGAAAUGUGCUCAUCACCUUAGGCUAACUAAGGCAGUUCUAGAGGAUGUGCCUGCAAAGAACUCCACUGCUUUUAAUGACAAGUGUCCCUAAAGUCAUUCCUAACUGCUUACCUUACUCAAGAUUGCAGGAUUGCCCUUAAUACAGUUUGGCACAGAGUAAAACUAAAAUCCAUUAGGUGACCUCAGUCCAUAAAGGGCAAAUUGUGUAAUAAAACCCCAAUAAGGAGCUUGGAAAGGAAUCAAACAGGAAAUUGAAAUGAGGGCUGAGGAGAGAGAGAGGGAAAAGGGGAAAACAGAGAUGGGGAAAGGGAGAAAGAGGAAAAAGUACAGAGAAAAGGAAGUUCACAGUGACACAGUCUGUGAGCCAUUGGUGCUGUUUGUCCUGAUUUACCAAGUGCACCUGAGGCUGCCAGGUGAACAAGAACUUUGCAAUUCUGCCCCACCAGCAAGCUCCCCAGCACAUGCUGUACUAUGUUAUUUAUACCACAAACACUUUGUGCAAAUAUGAAAUGCAACUUUUUGUGUUUAUGAUUCUCUUCUGAAGAGAAAGAGAGAAUAGGCUGCAGAUGCUUCUGCUAUCAUUGUGAGGUCAAAAAAAAGGGAGUUGGGAUAAAUGGGGCUAAAAAAAAAGUAAAAAAAGAAGCAUCAUUCACUACCAAAUGAGAAAAGCAGGAUUUAAAAGCUGGAGAUUGCCACAAUGCCUUCUGUGGAAAGAUGCCACCUGUGGGACCUUUUGUGCAGCUCUAAAAUGGAUCAUCACUGUACUGGGGAAACAUUUGUAAUUCUACCCUUUGAUGGAUAAGCUCAUCUGUGCUAAUUAAGUUUCAUGGGAAUCUCAAGGCAUUACAUAUUCCAUAUUUCCAUAUUUUAGUGUGGAAACACGAUAAUGCACACAUAAUUUAUAUCUUUAUCAUACUGAAAUAUAUGUAUGCAUGCAAGAGGGCAACAGUGAAAAACUUCCAGUUUAGAACCUGCCUUUCUUGAAUGUUGAUUCUGUGACCCUGAUCCUGCAAUUAUAUACUGCAUUAGAACAGAAAAAAAUCUACAAUAAGUGGAAAGGAAUUACUGCAGAAACUCACACACUGUAUGCAAUACUUACUCUGCCUAAGUUUCCUUGCACUUGACUUGAUUACCUGCUCUCUCACUGAUUCAGACAGAGAAGCACAAUAAAAGAAAUAUGUACUCACUCUGCCUUUUGUUCUCUCAUUGGGAAAAAACCAUCAGUCUUGGCACUAAUAGAUUCUGCACAGUUAUAAAAACUAAUAAGUUUCUGUAGAAGACGUCAAAUUUAGAAACAAUAAGGAGGCAUUGUACUGAAUCUAUGUUCAGAGCUGAAAAUAUGGCACAUUUCCUGUUAAUUUCCCUUUAUUCCCACUCAUUGUUUUGUCCUAAAAAAAAUAGUAUUUUGAAAUGUGCAAGUCUUAAACCUACAUGAGCAAAAUAGCUUCUAUAUUUAAACAUUCUAAAUAGCAGUUUCUUUUAAAUGAGGAAUGCUCAAAAGCCCACAAUUGAUUCUAGAACUGUGGGUUGAAAAAAGUCUGAUACUGACCAAGAAGGAAUAGGAAAAUCUUGUCUUCUUUGUCUUGUUGGUUUUGUUUGUUUGUGGGGACUUUAAUUGGUUUUGGUUUUGUUUGUGGUUUUUUGGGUUUUUUAAAAUUAGUCUUGUGCAUAUUAAUGGGAAAAAAAGGGAGGGGGGUAGAGAGAUAUUAAUUUUCAGGUAUAUUUACUUCUGUCCGUGUUUGUAUUCCCAUCAGUUAGUUAACACUGUAACUGCAAAAUUAAAAGUUACCAUCAUCUCUGAAAUACCACGUGCAAUACAUGAAAUUGUCUUUCAUCCAUUGACUGCAAUAGUUUUGAAGCUUUUUGCUCUCCACAUGCUCAGAGCAGUCUAUCUGCCUGUUGUAGCUCAGAUGCAAAAAAUGAAAGAGAAUUUUAAAAAAAUUAAAGAGGAUUUGUUUUAGCCUCUAACCUGGAAUGA
Long non-coding RNA from Passer domesticus (house sparrow), 5269 nucleotides. RefSeq lists it as uncharacterized. Lineage: Eukaryota; Metazoa; Chordata; Aves; Passeriformes; Passeridae. The record is from RefSeq and is a predicted model, not a curated record. The transcript is spliced from 3 exons.